ACAGCUGUCCCUCCAGAUUAAGGUAAACCAAAUGUUGCAAUCAGAGAUUAGUGUACCUUGCCAGUUAUUAACAUCCCCGGUUGCUCAGCAAGCACGUCAGACACUAAUGCUGUGUAUUUAUUUGCUACUUCCCCACUGUAACUUGAACUUCUGCACCUGUCAAUGCAUUCCAGGGAAGAGAGGGGUAUUAUUGGAAAGCAAAAGUUUUAUACCUGUUACACCUGGUUUGGUUUGUCACAGCCUAAGAUUUUCUUCUUUUCUUGCCAGGAUUGCCAGGUGGUUUAAUCCGUUACUCUGCUGGUUUUAUGAAAAAAGUCUUUGUAUGCGAAAUUGCAUUUGUUACUCUCAUCUGCUCUCUCUGCUAUCGAAGCUGAGCUACUCACCUAAACUGGGCCUUUUCUUUUCUUUCCCUUCUGUAAGGGAGUUUUUUUUUUUUCCUCCUUCUUCUUUUUGUGUAUGUAGAGGAUGCAGCACAAGGCUAGAAGAAUCAGCACCCUCUCCUGCUGUGCUCUAAUCAGUUAGUGGUGCCUCUCUCACAAGGAUCCUGACACGUGGAGCAUUGAUGAACUCAGCAUAACGUUGAAUAGGAGCUUUUUGGCAGCUGAGACACAAGGGCUAAGCUGCAGGUCAGAGAUAACACUAGUGCAGAUCUCCUCAUGCACACAGUUAGUAGCAUGCUUUCUUCCCUCCUGAGUGCAGGAAAUAGCUCAUGUUAAAUACGUUCACUUUUCAGUUUUCCUUUCUUCUAAAAUGGAGCUUGACAGAUUGGGCUUUUCAGCUCCCCCUUUUUUUCACCACCUCUGCUUUCUACCUCAGAAAUACUCUUCAGGAAGCAGGAGUUAAUCUUGGCUCAGCUCUGCCUCCUGUACCUGCGUGCAGCAGUGCCUUUCUCUGUGAAGAGUCCCAUUAAUUUCAAUGGGGCUACUCAUAGAAGAGAGCACAGAUCAGCAUGAGUAAGAGUGGAAGAACUGGGUCCUGACCCUGCAGGCUUUUCCGCAUGGGUGGAUUCCUGCACCCAUGUUUAGAGCUCUGUUGACUUCAUUGGGUCACUGUGCUGAACAGCUUGUAGGCUAAGACCUAAUACUGUGUAGCUCAAAAGCAGAUCCAUGCUAUUGAACAUUGCUUUGGAAAAAGAUCAUUUACUAUUUCAUUACUUUGAAGUAAUGCAUGAGGGUCAGUGGUUCGUACGGAAAAGUGCAGAGUGCAUUCCUGCAGUCUCCCAAAUCCUACAAUGUCUAGUGGUCCCCAUUGGGCGCACAAUACAUUAUAAUGGACAAUCCUUCUGGACCUGCUGGAAUGGACCUCUCAUGAGGGCAGAUAUGGCUUUAAAGAAGGACAAAAGAAGGAGAAAUAUCCCUCAAAUGAUGGAGAGGAAAUGGUCAUGUGAAGGCCAGCCCUACCGGAAAGCCCUGCUUUAAAAGAAGAAAUUAUUCAGACUAAAGGAGUAGUUUUCCUAAGCAACCAGAUCAAAGUGAAAACUCUCAGAAUAGCUCACUCACAGGUUUCCUUUUGCACACAGGUUCAUCAAGAGUGUCAGACACUUGGUGGGCAGUUCAUAUUCCUCUGACAAACUAAAAUUUGGUGGGAAACUUCAUAGGAACCCACGGUAUCAGUAAGCCCUGCAAAUAUCUUGGGAUCUCUCUUCUUUUUAAAAAAGACUUUAAAAAUAAUUUGGUGGAUCUCUAAUCUAGUUAUCUGCUGUAACUACAAUAUACUGUGUAUGUCUGACUCCCACAGACGAAGGCCUCUGUUUCCUUUCUGCCAGUACCUUAGUAUCUGCCUUGCCCAGGAGUCUGCUGAUGAAGACUUCCUGUUUGUUUUGAGUCACUGCUGGAGUGAUAAAUAUACUUCAGCUUUCUCCUCAGAGAGGAAAGAAACCAGCUGCCCUGAACUAAAGAGAAAAUAUGUAGAAAUUCCACCAAAGGGCCCUGUUAUCAUGGAGCCUCUAUGGAAGCAUAAAAACAAGAAAUAUAAGCUACGACAAAGGAAAUAAUUUACAUACUAAAACAUCCUUCCACAUGAAUCGACAUAUUUGUUUUCCUUUAAUCAUUUAUUUUCACUCUAUAACUCUAAUUUAAAAUGGAUUACAAAUAAAUAAAUAAAUGCAGGGGGUGGGAGAAGGGGGGAAAGAACCAACCCCAUAAACAUACACUACACAAUAAUGUUUGGCUGGAUAAACAAACAAUUAUACUUGUGGUUUCUUGAUCUGACCACAAGCUUUAAAUGACAUUUUUUUGCAUGAACCUACAAUGCUUCUGGAUAAACAAUUGUGUUUAUAUUGUCAGGAGCACCCAGUGCAGUGUUGUGUAAUUUCUGUGUGUGAUUACCAGGAUAUAGAAUAAAUUCCAAAAUAAAAGAAAGGAAAGGAAAAUGAGAUUAUUAGGUCAUUUUUAAUAAAAACAGCAUAGUUUGGAAUCACUUAUAGCUUAAUUUGUAAUUUUAAAAGAAUGCAGCAGUGGCUUUUAAGUUUCUGCAAUUAUCUUUUCAUCUCUUUUUAUCCUUUUUUUUUCUUUUUUUCUUUUUUUAAUUAGAGAUGGGACCCAAACCAAAAACCUGGAUCCAAACCCAAGAUCCAGGCUCAUAUCAGAGUUCACAGCUCUAACCUAGUUCCUGAAGAAGUCAGCUCUAAGCACUAGGAACUUCAGUUUUGAAUUUUAAACUUCCAAGUUCAGAAGCAUUUGAAUCCAGGUGUUUUGGUUCUGCCGGAUAUAGGGGUAGAAAGUUUAUAUCUUCAUCAGUUUCAGAGUAGCAGCCGUGUUUCGCUGUAGCUCAUGAAAGCUUAUGCUCAAAUAAAUUGGUUAGUCUCUAAGGUGCCACAAGUACUCCUUUUCUUUUUGCGAAUACAGACUAACACGGCUGUUUCUCUGAAACCUGACUUAGGUUUGCGAGGCUCAGGCUACAGGGCUGUUGAAUUGCGAGGAGGGAGGGUCCCAGAGCCUGGGCUCCAGCCCUACCCCAAGUGUCUGCACAACAACUAAGCAGCCCUGUAGCCUCAACCCCACAAGCCGAGUCAGCUGAAAUGCAUUUAUUUGCAGUAUAGAUGCACCCUCUGUUUCCCCUCCCACCCUUUCUCUGCCUUGUCUAUUUAGAUUCUAAGCAAUUUGCAGUAGGGACUCUGUGUUUCUACAGUGGCAAGCAUAAUAGGUCCCUGAUCUUGGUUGAGGCCUCCAGGCACUACUGUAGUACAAAUAAUGAAUAAUAACAAAUGAGAAGACAUUCCAGGGUCAGUGGGUUUGUCCAGUCAGAAUCUGCAAGGUGUACACUUCACAUUCCAGAAUCCCACAAAGUGUCCCUCUCAUGGAAGAAUCAGAAAGAAACUUUGACCUACAGAUGGUGGCAUUUUCUGCUCUCUCAUCUUUUUUUUUUUUUUUUUUUUUUUAAAGACAUGUGACCCUGGAUUGUUUGUAAGGGGGGACGGACUUGUGUGUGCAAUGUCCACAUUAUUUGGGGGAAUCAGUUUUUAUUAAAAAAAGGCACACACAAAAGCUCUGCUUUGGCUAAAUAAUAUUUGAAUUACCAUUACACGAAAGGAGAACCUUCUUUUUCUUACAUUUUUUGUACAUUUUCCCUUAAUUAUCACACGCCCUAAGUAUUGGGAAACAAUGUACACGCUCUUGUAAAGAACUGCACAUAUACAUUCCUAUAAGGUAAAAGGGUUAUGUCCUCUAUAUCACUCAGUGAAGUUAUGUGGAACAAAAAUAAUCAUUUAUAAGUGGUUUCAGUUUUACCUUUUUUAUGGUUUACCUCUACUAACUCCUAGUAAAAUAUAAUUUCUUCUGUUACAGCUGAUGAAAAAAAUCAUUAUGGCUUUAAAGCAUGAGACUAUAAAAAGCUGCAACUAGUUUAGAUAUCAGUUAGAAGUUAAUUCUGAGUCACUGCAAUUGAAAACAUCAGUUUACAACAUUUACUGGGUUGCUAUAAAAAUGUAUUCCCCUGUGUUACGUUAAACGUGAGAAACUACACCUCAGUGUUUCCAUUAUUUAUAUAUUUAUUCAUAUCUUGCUGCUUCUGAUUCAGCUGUGUAACUGUAUGCAAAACAAAUAACUACUGGGGAACAGAAUAAUUUGUAUUUUGAGGGGAAUAAAUAUCCUGAAGGAUAUAUUUUUGUGGGUGUGGUGGCACCUAUAAAGAAUCACAUGGAUUUUGCAAACAAAAUAUGAGAGAGAAAAAGUGGGUGUAAGAACCUUGACAUUGGUCUGUUAUGGAAAGGACAUUUUUUGUUUGUUUGUUUGUUUUUUUAAAUCCUCAAACAAAUCCACAUCUUAAAACACAGCGUGAGCACCCUAGCAUAUUUUACAAAGGCCCUGAAAAAGAUUUAUUAUCAGUCCCAUACAAAUAGAAGGACAAUGGGCCAGAUCCUGGGGACUGCUCAUGCUGCACCCAUUACCGCUCUAGGGUAGGAGAAUUCGGGAUGGGGUAUAAAGGUAGCUAUAAGCCACCUAUACAUUGCCCUGAUCAGUUCCAGGAUUGUUAGGUAUUGGUCUGGUCUUCACUGCACGACAGAACAGAGAGACCUGCACUGCCCUACACCUGGGUGCCUACAGCCUCCAAGGACUGUUCCAGCAGCUAAGGAUUGGCUCAAAGUUGUGGCCCCCUGUUCUCGGAGUUAAAAGGAAUGGCAUAGAAAGUGGCCAGUGAAAGAUAUUUAUUUUUUAAAGGCUAUUCAUUGUCCAUCAAUCUUUCUAUUGAAGACUGGAGUUCAUGGCAACAAAAUAACACACUUUAUUUAAGAAACAUACACAGCAAAGUCAUACAUGUGUCUUUUGUGACCAGCCAUUUCUGGGAAACUGACAUUUUAUUCCUCCCCCUCCAGCAUCUGUAAAUUCAUGGAGUGCCCUGCAUUUGACUUCUUUUCUACUGUCUUUCACGUCCUCUACACAAAAGAUUCUCAUUUAAUGAAAACCAUGUCGCUAGUUCCUUUAGUGCGAUCCAGAGUUGCUCCUGAGUCACCUAGAACUGUAGCUUCUGCUGAUGUGAAGACUUUCCGCCCCACGGAUAACACGGCAUGAAUCCCUAUGUGCCCCAGAGCCUGAUUGGUGUGGAUCUCCCAGCACACAGAAAGGCAAGAAUUAAGAGAAAGACAGGAGGGUCCUCAGGCUCACCUGACUCGGCCUCCUGCAUGCUGUCUUACAGAUAUCCACCAUGGAGUUGAGCUUCCACCAUGUAAAAGAGAUGAAGAGCACACUUAGAAAACAUGGCACACAUAACAGCAGUAUGUGGAGGCAAUAGGAUUGCAUGACACACAUACAGCAGUAAACUCAGAUCCACCUGAAUGGGCUUUGAGCUGGAGUUUGGCAUUCUCAACCUGGGAUUCAGAUGUUGGCCCGAGAUUGGUGGCACAUUACCCUACACCUCUGACAAGGUUAGCAGGAUGUUCCAGGUAUGUUUAUGCUGCACAGCAUUGCCAUGAUCCUUGCCUGAGGGGAAAGACAUACAUGAAAUAAGGAGCCCUGAAAAGAAGAGGACAUAGAAGCUGUGAAGUUUAGGAGGACAUAAGCAUGCUGGACCAGGAAGAUAAUGGGGGAGCAAGGACACCAGCUAGCAUUCCCUGAGCCCCCUGAUUCUCAGAGACAGUCUGAUAGCCAAGAAUUUUGCCUUUGUUGGUGUGAGAGUCUUCCACUCUGUAACUCCUGCCUCAUGGUACAGCCUUACUGCUUCAUUUUCAAUCUCAGCUGAUACCGGAUCUGUUCUCCUGUGCCUCUGCCUCUUCUUCCCUCCCUCCCGCUGCUCUCUGUACAAUGUUUUGUGAUCCAGUUUGUAUGAAAACACUGGAUAAUAAAAAGUCCUAUAGUAUUAAUUUGGUGCAGCAAAUCCAAUAGUGUAUGUUACUUCAUCCUCUAAUCUUCUCUUAUCUAUGAUAAUGCAUAAGUUUAAUUUUCAUUAACUGCGGGGGGGGGGGGGGGUAGGGGUGGAGAGUGCUUCUUAAGCAGUUACUUCCUGGAGCUAAACUAUUAUCUUCCUUAAAUACAGCUGUUUAUAUUAUGCAUAACAUAAUUCCUGUCAUACAAAUAUAUUAUAACUCUUUGAAAUACUUUGUGCUCUCAAUUAGCAUAAGUUUCAGUUUAGCUUUUAUUAAAAAAAAAAUAGUGAAAAAGGCCCAGGGAACAGCACUUUCUAUCUCCCCUUAGUAGAACUGGCUCUGAAGUGACCUCUGGCUUUUUGGGAUGGAGCCAGCAGUGCUGCAGAGCUGGUACUUUCAACUGUAGGAGAAGAAAGUAAGUGUUAAGGGUAAUGGGUGGAGGCAAUAGGAUUUCACACAUCAGUGUCAUUACAGAUUUAGAGUCUCACUGUUCACAUUACAGUAGAGCCUCAUCUGAGAUCAGGGCCCCAUUGUGACAGUCCCUGCCCCAAAGAGCUUACACUCUAAAUAGACAAGAGAGAGAAAAGGUGGGAGGAGAAACAGGGACACAAAGAGGUGAAGUGACUUGCCCAAGUCACACAGCAAGUCAGAGCCCAGAUCUAUGAUUCAGUACAUUUGCAAUUUAUACUUAAGAGUUAAGUGCAUGUCUUUACAAAACAGGGUGCCAUUUCGAGGUGAGAUCUAAGGUGGCAUGAAUUGCACAUUGUGAAUGGGUAUACAGAAUAGAGCCCAGGUCUGCUGUGUCCUUUUUCUAGUGUCCUAUUCACUGGACCACGCUGCCUCUUUACCAGUCCUGAAGUAAUCCUUACUCAUAUAAGUAGUGCUAAUGAAGUCAGUGGGACCAGUUUCUGGAAUAAGAAUUACUGUAUGUGUAAGGUUUUGCAGUGUGAAGCCCUUAGAAGCGGCUUGCUGUCAUUUCAGUGACUGUUACUUUUUCUCUAAGGGAGGGCACAUGGAAUGAAUGAUGAGGUGACUGAAAGGCACAAUGGGGCUCCUUGGGAUCACUGAGGGAAGACCCACAUUUCAUUAUAAGAAUUCCUCUUCCAUGCACCUCAGCUUUCCUGAUAACUUAUUUAACAUGUAUAUCAUGGUAACAUCCAGCGGCUACAAUCUGGAUCAGGGCCCACUGUGCUAAACUCUUUACUAACAUAUGCAAAGAAACAGGGUUAAAUCCUGGCCCCAGUGAAGUCAAUUUCAAAAACCCUCUUGACUUCAAUGGGGACAGGAUUUCACCCAUGUCCCUAUCUUGAGUUUACAAACUAAGAAGACAAGUGACAUAUUAAAGGUGCAGAGGAGAGGGAUGCAGUCAAAUAUAUACAUUUGCUGAACAAGGACUAUAUAAGAGUUAGGUAUUAAUAUUGUUUAUUAUUGCUAUUUUCAAGGAGUACUUGGUCCUGCCUCAGUGCAGGGGGCUGGAUUAGAUGACCUCUUGAGGUCCCUUCCAGGCCUAUGUUUCUAUGAUUCUAUUAUUCUACAUGAUUUACAAUUCUUACAAUUAUACUGAAGUUAAGUCUACGUCUUUACAAAACGGGUGCCCUUCAGAGGUGAUAGGAAAGGUGAUGUGAAUUGCACGUCAUAAGGUUUGGUUUAUAUCAAUUUAGACUCCCUGGGCCAAAGUAAUCCCUUGUUUGUCUUAAGUCACUCUGUUGAAGUCAGUUGAAUCAAACUAGGGAUGACUUUGGCCCAGGGAAUCUAAUCUGCUGUAAACCACCUGCUGAGGGGCCAGAUGAAAAAGGUGCAGUAGGAAAAGUAACUGAGAGGUGUAAGGAGGUGUAAAUAAAAAGCUGGUCUUCCGUUGCCUACUUUAACUUGUACCUUUUUUAGGCCCCUCAGUAUGUAAGCAACACAAAUUCUCUUGCACUCACAUACGCUUACAGGUGCUUUUGCAAUACCUUCAAAUCACCUCUGAAUUUGACCUCCCCCGCCCGAUGUUGUACAUAAACCCAUUUAUGUGACUCUCUGUGGAUGACACAAAGUCAAUUUGAUUAGUUUACAUUGUAGUUGUAUAGGGUAGGUCAUAGUUAGCUUGCUUUGAUUCAUGUUUAAUUUUAAAAUCUACCUUUAACAACUCAAAAGAGUAACACACAGCACUUAUAAAGUGCUUCACAUCUUAAAAAUGCUGCAUCAGUAUUAACAACUAACGAAUUAGCAAUGAAUUAGCUCAAUUGUUUUCAUGUAUAUGGUUUCAUAAAUAACUUUCUAAAAGGGUUGUGACAUACUUGUACCAUUAUUUUCUAUGAUAGCUGGAAAAAAAAUUCCUGGAAACAUAUGUUUAUUUUUUUCCCUGCUUCUGACCACUCUGUUUGGAAAAACUGCCAAGUUUGACUCUAAACUUGCAAAUACAGUAACUUUCUUCUUUGAAAAUUUGAGUCUAUAACCUCCGGAGCAGUUUUUGGUAGAAAGGAUUGUUAUGUUACUGACUCUUAUGAUCAAUUUCAUUUUCUUAAAUUGAUUUCAUACACAAGGUUAACAGAGAAGGUCCAAACAAAUGAAUACAUGUGCAUUUAUCUGACAGUAUUUCAUAUACAAAUAAUGAAAGCAGUACAUUAUCAAUUCUCCUUAGUAAGAAGUAUUCUUCAUGUUUUUAUAAAAAGUACUUAAGAGCUGACUUUGAAGAAAGACUUUGAAAACUUGCCAAACCUUCUUUGUAUUUUGAAAGUCCACAUCAAGAAAGUAGUAAAUAGUAAUUGAGUGUAGGAAAAAGGAAACUAUUAGUAUUGUUUUCUUUUAAAGAUAAAAAGAAAAAUGCAGUGCAAAACUUCAUAAUCUCUGAAAUGUGUAUUUGUUAUUUGAAUCAAUUUAAAACAAUUGUCACUAUUAACUUCAUGUUAGCUUGCCUACUGAACUGUACAAAAUAGCUCUGUAUCUGCUGGUUUCAUGUAUGUGAGGUUUUUUUUCCCCCCUCACUCUUUGGAGUUUUACAGUUUUAAAUUAUUUCCAUUAAUUGCAGAGUUAAAGCUAUGCUAAGACUGUGCUUAAAAAAGUCCAGGAUUGUUCAAACCUAUAUUCAUUUUUCUAAUUUAAGGACAUCUAUGCUUGAUUUCCAUAAACCAACAGUUCUUCAAUACUCCUUUCUUGACACCCCAUUUUUAUUUAACUAAACUAAAAUAUCCCUACUUUUUGCUUAAUUUGUAGACAGAUCCUGGGCCAAAUUCUUUGCUGGAGUAAAUUAGUGCAGCACCUAUUCAAGUCACCACUCGAUACCAGCAGAAAAUGUGGUCAUGUGACUUCCCUAGAAGUUAUUUUUAAUAAACAUUUUGAUAUUUGUUUAGUGUGAAAAUGCUCAAAUGGAGAUCAACUGUGUGCUUGGAAGGAACUACAGUGAACCCUCCCUAUAUACUGCAAAGGUUACAAGCUAUCUCUCAUGCUUGCAUUGGUUACAGGAAUUUAUAUUGUGUAAUUAUAUGUAAUCAAGUGGUUAACUUGUCUUUUAUCACUGAUAAUGCAGGUUGUACUUAUGCAUAUAUUAAUUGCAAUGCCAUUAAGCUGUCCCAUGUGUGAGGUAGUAUUAUGAGGAACUGCCUGUUCACUUUAACUUUAAGUUCAAUACAUGUUCAGCUGAAAAGGAAUCUACAGUGUAUUUAAACUGUGAGAAACCGACGAGUUCACUGGAAUUCUGGGUGUGAUGUAAUGUAUAGCUGCCAUUUAAAAAUGGAACAUUUGCCAACAAUUUCCACACGGGUGUUCAGAGAUUAUUCUGAUGGACAUGAUAUAAGAACCAAGAGAGGGAGAUGGAUAGGUAGACACAGAGGUGCAUACAAAACUGAUUAUAAAUGUUGAUUUUUUUAAUGGGGACCACUGUAUUAUUCUAUAUAGAGAAAAUAUAUAUUUGUGUAUAGAAUGAAGGUGGGAUUGCAUCACAGGUUUUACUGGAAUGAGUUUGAGUGACUACAUUUCUUAGGAGUUGAAGAAAGAUGCUGGAUUUUCAGAGUUUGCAAAGACCCUUUCAGGCUUACCAGUGCAUCAUCUCUUGUCUCCAUCUUAUUUUCACACAUGUUGGCUCCGGACAUCUCCUGCUUUUACUAUUUUCAAAAAGUUUGUAUUUAAUUUUAUAAUACUCAAGAAAACAUGACACAGAUAAAACUGUGAUAUACAAUAUAUGAAUAGAAAUAUAAUGCAAACAUAUAUGAAAAUGCUAUCAUACUGUCUGUACCUCCAUUUGUCCAUUGGUAAAAUGGAUUUAAUGAUGCAUACCUAAAAGGUGAGUUACGAGGCUUAAGUCAGAUCAUACCUUCCUGCCAAAAUAUUUGUGGGAUGUUGACAAGAUGACCAGCAAACUCUGGGGAUUAUGGGGAGAGGGUUUAACCAAAUCUUCCACUCAGUGGAGAGGCUUAGUUGUCCUAUGGGUAGGGCAAGAGAAUAUAGUCUCACAACUCUGUACAUCUGUGGGGAAGUGAAUGCCUAGUUGUGCAAAGGGGCAUUCAUUUUACUUUGCUACACUGGCUUCAACUUUGUUGGCAGAGCAAUUCCUUUGGGUGUGGCAUUGUCAUAGGCAAUAGGGAGGGAUGCAAAGGGAAUUAAGGAUGCAUCCAGUGAGAGCUGUUCUUCCCCAUCACCUACUCCCAUACCCCAAAUCCUGUGCUGGAAGACUCUGAAGUAGAGUAACUUCCUUAGGAUCAUAGAGCAUUUGGGGGAUGGUGCCACAGAGCUGGAACUCUUCACACCCCUAUACUUCAGUGACAGCUUUAUUGGACCAUGCUCCUCUAUGCUUACAGAAGCAGAGGAGACAAUCAAGGCCUUAUUUACUUAAUGUUUGUAAAGUGCCAUGAGACCCUCAGAUGCAUGUUACCAGCAUCUCAUUAUUAUUACUCACUAAAGAAAAAAAAAUCUUGCUAAUAUGAAUGUUUCAGUAAAAAUACACUGAUUUUUCAGAUUUUCCUUCUCAGUUUGACAACAAAAUUUUUACACUUACAGAAGAAGUGAGAUUUUAGAAGGGCCUUCUUCUGAUACCCAACACCAUGCAGGACACAGGUGAUGCAGAAUUUCUCCUUUUCUCUUUAUGGUGAGGAUGUACCCAAAUAACUCUGCAAAAUCACUAGCAUAGAAGCUAUGAGUGUCCACCAAAAAGAAAAUACAUCCUCAUAUAGGGUGAAAUCCUGGUCCUACCCAAGUCAAUGAGAGUUUUGCCAUGGCUUUCAAUGGGGCCAGGAUUUCACCCAUGAUAUUUCAGAAUUGAUGUAGCUCCAUGGAGUUGAGUAGGAACAUUUUAUAAAGUGGUGCUCUUUAAAAUUUGAUUUUUAAAAUUUAAAAAUGUAAAAGACAAUGGUCCAUGGUCAUCCCUGGUGAAGCUCCAUCAAAAACAGUUGCAUUCCAUCAGGGAUGAAUUUGGACCUGUUUGUUUAUUUAGAGGUUGUUUAAAUGUUCUUUACCCUUCUCAACUACAAAAGUAUACUGCUUUAUUCCUGACAGUGUUGUAGUUCUUAUAGGGAAGCAGAAUUUCAUCAAGUUAAACUUUUCUGUUUGCAAGGUUAAAAGAGGAGGCAGAAGGCCAGAUUCACCUCUGUUAUGCCAGUGACAUAAAAAAAGUUAGUUUGGCUUUACACUGGUGUAAUCAAAGGCAGAAUUUGUCUUACAGAUUUUUCAUACAUAAAGUUCACUUUGCUAAUUCUCAAUAUGUAAAGCCACAUUUAGAACUGAGCCACGCUUUACCUAGCCAUAAUGGAUUGGAGUGGUGCCUUGUGGAUUAUCCAUAUUAUCUAUGAUAUCUCCAUUCUAAGUGACUACUACUGAUUAGUACAUAAAAUAAAUUGCUUUUAUUAUUUCUUCUACUGCAUAUCUGACUGUUGUUGCACCACAUUCCUAAGCAGACAUCCAAAUUUACCUUAUUAAGCAAUGAUGCAAAUAAUACAAUCCUAAGUGUGUUUUUGUUUUGUUUUUUGUCAUAAUGAUGACCUCAACUGUGCAUUCCUUGUUCACAGAAUGAAUUAAUUUUCAGUGUGCAAGGAAUGCUGGUUUGGGCCCUAUAUCUUUGGGAAAUACUAUUCUGGAAAGAUGCAGUUAUCCUAUGUGUUGUUAUGAUAGCGAGUCUGAGUGGAACUCCCUGUCUCUCUGCAUUAUUCUGUUUUACCUUAGGUCACUGUAGCUGAGUGGUUGAUGAAAUAUGAUUUGAAACUGUUCCUUAAAGCCUGCUGCAAGGGGGCCCCACCCCAUCCUUCCCUUAUUUAAAACAUUCCUAAAGCCAUUUUCCAAUGAAAUCCCACUCAAGUGGACUGACUCACAUCAGAAGACAUUCCAGAAAGAAGAAUAAUUACACCAUUGCUGGAAUUGAUGUAAUGGUGUUUUUCAGGAUACUUUAAUAGACAUGAGUGAUGUUUUGGCAGGCAGUUGAAAUAACCCUAGAUAUCUGAUUGCAUUACUGACUACAACCAAAGGGCAUCUCUGGGGAAAGAGCAUUACUUGAGGUACUUUCUUCAUAUUUGUAACUUGCUGUAGUUAUCUUUUAACACAACACAGGAUUUUUUUUUUUUAAAAGACAGACCUAUGGAGAGUUUAAUGGAGAAGUAGAACAAAAUGUAUUUACGAACUGAAUUCUAAACAUACACAGAUUCCAAGAGACAGGCUUAUGUAAACAUCAACAUAAUUCUCUGGGUUAUGUGCUGUUUAAAAUAACAUUAAGUUAUGGAUUUAGCCCAAAAGGUUGUCACUUAACAGCAGCAUUUCUUUUGUAAUCUGUAUGGUUUGGAUUUAUUGUAAUUUUAAUUUGAUCUUUAAAAGGUAAUGGAAAUGGUUCUUCCCCCUUCUGUGGAAUAUUCUGAACAUUGCAUUCAUUGCUCUCAGCUAUUUAAUUGAACUUUGGUACAAUUUAACACUUGUACUUCUCGUAUAUGUAGUUUUGGGGCUGGAUGUUGAUUAGCUGUAAUGUAGACGAGAGGAGGGUUGGCAGGCAGUAAGGCCCACGACGCCUGCGAAGCUGCACUAGAAUGACAUGUACUGUGACUCUGCAAGAGAGUAGCACCAGGGCAAGUGAAGAGGCAGGGAAUGUGGGGAGCCAGGAUAAGCUGGUCAGAAGAGAUGACUGCACACAAGUGAGUUAGGGAAGCUAAUGGCCUUAUUUUCAAGGCUGUAAUAAGUUAUUUCCCUUCUCCCACUCCUGGAGCAAGAAGGGAGGAACUGUGAGUCAAUUCCUUCCCAGGGCUAUUUCUGAGGUAGUGCAGCUAAGUGCCACCCGAUACUCCAGGCUGUCCCUAAAAGGCCUAAUGUUAUCCUAAUUUAUUAAGAAUCUGUCUCUCUCUCAUAGAAAUACGUUUAUUCUUUCUCUCUCUCUCUCUGUAUGUGUUUUAAUACCAUACUUAUCACUAUGGUAUUCUUAUUAUUAAAGGUAGUAAACACACUGGACCAAAGUGUGCCCUUGUUUAACAUCUACACCGUCCCACUGAGAGCUCAAUCAUUGCCUUCACAUCUAAGCUAUAUAUUAAAAAAAAAAAAUCUGAGCAUUGAUGUUCCUGUUUUUAUUUCUCAAAGCCUAGUCAUUUAGCUACUUUCCUCAGGUAAACAGGUCUUUUUCUUGGUCUGGCAUGCUGAUAAGCCUUCACACUUGGCUGGGCCUGAGGUGCGUUUGUGCAAAGCCAGAUUGUUUUAGUUAACAUAAUCAGUGAACUCACUGUUCUACCUGGAUGUCUGGGAGAAUUGCCAAGAGAUUUCCCAACAUUUCAAUCAGAGACAUAGGCUAUAAAGCUGUCAGUUUUCUUGUAGGCCAAUUUGCCUUUGCCAUGGUUCUAACAUUCUAUUCAUUUAUAAAGGAAUCAGUCCAGGUCUUUUGGGGUAAUAUUUUAUGCUGGUUUCAAUUUGAAGAAUGAUUCUUUCUUUCUUAAAGAUACAUUUUAAAAGAGCAUUUCCUGACACAGGAAAAAAAAUUCACACUAUGAUUUUGACGCAAUAGAAAAAAAGAGAGCUUCCAUUAUUAUUAUUAUUUAUUAUUAUUUGCAGUGCUUGAGCCUGGCUCUCUUCAUAUAUUGCCCCAAUCUCAAGUGGCUCUCUUCUUAAACAAAGAAAUUGAGCUAUUCAGGUCAAAUAUUCAAGGAUAAUAUUGGUCUGAGAAGUAAUUACAAUCAGAGAUAUGUUAAACUACCUGAAAAUAAUUCACUUUCACAGUAAAAAAUAUACCUACAAGUCUAUGGGUUGUGGGUCAUUGUCAUCCACCCUCUUCCCAUUUGCUUUAAUAAAUUUUGGUGAAAUAGCUACUACUGAGUACUGAAUUUAAAAGAUUUGUUUUCCCAAGCAUUCCAUAUUCACCACGUUGUGCCAGAUUACAUCAUGUAACCUCCAACUAUGUCAUGUCACUUUUUUCAGAUGACUUGAUGCAGUGGGACGUAGUAUCACAUCCACUUGACAUUUCUUUAAUAGUCUUCAUGGGAAGUUUUCAAUAUUUGGUUCCUUGGAUAUUUUUCAAAUGUAUCAGCUUGGUAUUUUUAUGACUUGACCGGGCAAUGAAAAGUGUAGAUGAUUCAUAUUGUUCAACAAUACUUCAAAUUGCAUUGAACAGAUGAAAUAUGUGAUGGAAGUGGAGAAAGAAUGUAGAGUACGGAAGCAUAGCACUCAGUAAGCCUGCAGGAGAGGUAAGCAGAACCAUCAAAUAUAGUUUGUAGGAGUUCUCCUGCUAUUUAAUGAUUUUGAAGUUUUUUAGGCCUGCAGGUCAACAUCCCAAGAAGAUGUCGGUGCAACUAAGAAGGAAGAUCAAGAACCUGGAAGAUAGGGAGAGACAGGUUCUCUGGAAGGGAAAGCUGGAAAUGAAGCAGGUUAAGAGCUUCACCUGUCACAGAAAAAUUACACUUGCAAUAAGGCAGAUGUCAAAAGGACAGUAUUAGCUUGGAAGACUUCAAAACAGGUGUUUGGAAGAAGGAGGGAAUCUCAUUCAUAACCUAAACUGAAAAUAUUCAACAUAAACAGCAACUUACUUGCAUCAAGACUAUAUCAAGGCUUGACAAGUUCACCUGUCUGGUGCCUCAUGCAGCUGAUUUAUCUGCCUGGACAGGUGGAAAACUGCCUAGACUUAUCCGUGAGUAAAGUGGAGUUGUUAGUGCAGUGCCAUUGAGGAAGUGCUUUCUCUCACUGCAACAGUCGGAGUAUGCAUGUUACAGUGCUACAAAUUAGCAGACCGCUUUAAAACAGUUCCCAAGCAUUGAAAUUAGAAAUGCUUAAUGCAGAAUUCAUAUUUUCUAGCUCAGGCACAACGGGACUCUGGUGAAUUUAAUUUUUAUUGCUUUCAUGUUUUAAGUCAUUUGUCUUUUGGAAGCAAUCAUGGGAGCUGCAUUACAGCAGGACAUAUGAAGAUUCUUGUUUGCAUCUUGUAAUCCUGAUGAUAUUAAUUCUUUACUACAAGCAAAUGCCACCUGGAAAAUAAAAUUCUGUUCUUCCACUCGUACUCAUGUUGCACAAUACUCCCACUGAAGUAAAUGGAUCUCUCUAUAGAGUAACAGUCUAUUCAAUGUGAUAAGAGUAGCAGAAUCCGCUUCACAGCCAUUUGGAUUCUGGAGAAAAUAGUUUCUAUCACAGAAUUAAGUGGAUACAGAAAUAUCCAAGGUCAUAUCCUUAGGUAUUAACUGGUGUAGCUCUACUGACUACAAUUAAAGUAUGUUGAUUUAUACCAGCUAAGGAUCUGGCCCAUAAACAUUUAAACGAGUGUUGUAAUUUUUGGAAAAUAUCAUCAGUCUCAGUAAAGAGUUACGUGAUGUUAUAUUAUUUAAAAUCGUGUACUAAAACCAAUGUUUUUUAUAGUUAUGUCAAUCUUCCCCCAUCUAAAAUGUGCCAGAAUCUACCGUUACCAAAAUUUACCAUGGUGCCAUGUACUGUAUGUAAGAAAUCAGAGACCAUGACUGCCAUGCUCAUUACUGUUUCAUUGCUUGAUGAUUGGGAAAUCUUUUUUCUGUCAUUGUCUGAUUUUUAUAUUGUCCGCAACAAGGCAAGGUCUUUGAUGUUUUGUAACAUUCUUCAGCAUCACUAGAAAACAACUUGUUUUCUUAAUUUUCAGUGGUUUAUAACUGACUAUAGAAGAUCUUUUGGAUUUAACCCCUAGUCACAUAUAAAAUAUUAAAUAUGGCCAUUCUGAACCAGUAUGGGUUUUAGCCCUGAUGUCUCUGGCAAAUUCUAAUUUGGGUAAUUAAAUCCUGCCUACAUAAAUUCCCAAUGCAAUUUUAAUUGGAUACAGGAUUUUCCAUUUCUAGUGCUAAAUAAUUGUGCAGUAUUGAUGUAUGCUGUUAAACAGCUGAUAUGUUCUUUUCCAGAGGUCGCUGAAUUUCAUUGGUAAGUGAAACCACCCCUGUAUGUAUAAAGACACAAAUCUUGAGAAAUGCUGGAUGGUCUUAGGAUCAGGCACAAAGUUUGCCAAAUGUUUUUGGCAUUGAGAUGAAUGGUACUGUAGAAGUGUAAAAUAUCAUUUGUUAUUUCUAAUCAAGUUAUUCCAAAUCUUCAAAGCUGUAGCCACACUAAUGAAUCACAAAAAAACAAAAUAGAUCUUUAUACAGUAUAACUUAUUAGGUGACUACAGGGGUUGGACUGAGUGAUCUGAGAGAGAAAGUUAGGCAAACAUGGUUGUCCAGAUAUUGGUAAGGAACUAUUAUGUCAUCCGAACAACCCCCUCCCCCCCCACCGUGGAUGGUAUUGACUUGGGAAAAAACAACCAAAGUGAUAAGGGAUUUAUACUAUUUGUGGAAGCAAUACACUUACUUAUUUUAAGAGAUAUAAAACAUUGUCUCUUUUGCCCCCUUUGGCUGAUGGAAGCGGGGCAGACCUGUUAUCAGAUAAAAUGUAUUGCAUUAUUUGUGGUAUCCUGCAGAGAUUUUUUCAUGAUUUUCUGUGGGACCGCAGAGACAACUUGGAGGGAAAAUCACUACACUUUUGAUACAUUUGCCAUAUUUUUCAGCCGAGGGUGUAGUCCUAGCUGAAUGACUUUGUACAUAAUGGUCACUCACCCGUCAUCCUAUUUAACAGAUUCACUCAACAACAUUUAAAUGCUGAAGGCAUUUAACCAGCCAUAGUGAAAUCUGUUGUGGAUAUGUAGCUUUUUAUGGGCAACCUUAGUGAUCGUGCUAGCCCCAGGUCCUGUGAUGGAUUCUGUACUCUGACAGUUUUGAUGGAAAAUGUUUUACAGGGAAAGAUGUUUGGCAUGGAGUGGCUGCAGUAUUAAAUGAAGCUCAUUGAGUCACCCCUUGCUUGUGUGACGUAUCAGAUUGUAUUAACCUGGCUCCACAAAGGGAAAAAAAUCAAUAUGUAUGCAAAUUUGACAAAGUUUUAAAAGCUAUGUUUAGUCUUUACUGUUACCAUGACAAAAGAUGUCUCCCCAGCUGUGAGAGGCCUAUUUACUAGAAGUUGACCUUGCUCAUGUCCGUGGGGUAGAUGGAUCAGUUGGCUUGCCAGAAGAUCAGCAGAAGUAAAACUAGUGUUAAUCAUUUACUAAUGAUCGUCUUCUAUUUUGAGAGCCGUCACAUUUUCUUUUCUCAUAAAAAAUGAUGCUAAAUUAAUAGGCUACCCAAAACAUUUGAAAUCUCACAGAUUAUUUAAACAUUUACAAUGGACUACAUACCAUGAGUGACAUUCAUACCUGUACAUAGAGACUGCACACCACUUAAGUCUUCAGAGUAUACAGUCAAUAUUUUCAUGAGAAUCAAUAUUUACCUAACAUACCAGAUUUCAGUCAAGUGGGUUUUUCAAGUUUCUGGAUUCCACAAUCCUAGAAUUUAGAACUAUACUGAAGGAGCAGCCAUAAAAUAAUAUUAAAAGGUUGCAUGGCAGACCCCAUCAAGAUGUUUCUUCAGGGAUAAUGUGCCCUAGUUGAUAUCAAACCCAAAAUUUAGUUCAUGAGGGUCAUUGCUGGCACUAAGAAAUAUUUAGGAAAGUGAUCUUGAAAUGUUAGCAUCCUCAGAAGUCAUUUGAGUUUGGUUGUCCCUUAGCAAGGUUCUCUCAGUCUAGAUUUUUUUUCAGAUUCUUUUCUGAAGAUAUAAACAGCGGAUUCAAUAUGAUUACAAGGGCCUCAAAAUGUAUCUGGAAAAAAAAGGAUACAUAAUGUAUUUUCACUGAAUCAGCCUCAAUAUUGUCCACAUUCGUAUCCAUCACUCAUCAAAGAAUUAGUAUUAUCCUUGAAUCCCUAUUUUGUAAAGUAUGUCUGUAAAGUACUUACUCCGUUUUCACUAUCAAAACUGAAAAGAGAACAGGCAUAAUGUUGGAACUAGAGAGAAUAAUGAUUCUAUUAGGUUUGGGAUUUCAAUUUAACCCUAACAAGGCUAGAGAAGUUUGGCUUAACACAGCAACAGGGUUAGAUGCAUGAUAUAUUUAGGACACAGCUUCAAAAUAGAGGUCUCUCCAGUUGCCUAAUUAGACAAUGUGUGCGUGUGUAGAUAUGGGAGUGGAGAGGGGUGUGUCUGUGGGUGGCUGGCUGUGUGAGCUGGUUUUCAGCAGAGUAAAACUAAAAGAUGUUAACUGUUAAUGGAAUUGGUAUCUCUUCCAUACAAAUCUGCUAACUCUGGCAUAGGGAUGUGGAAACCUGGCACACACUAAAAGUAUGAGAGGAAUUUUGGAUUGGUUUGAAAACAAAUGCCUGAGGAGGCUCGUGAAGAUCAUAUGGAUGGACAGUAAGGAUUUAAACCAUUUAGGAGAUGAGCAGGUAGAGAUAGUAGGCAGAGGUGGUGCAGAAUAGGAAACUCCACUAGUCAGGGUAGCAGACUGUUAAGAUAAGUAAAGAAGUAGCCCUUCAAGUAUGGAAGGGACCAUGUCUGUUGGAGAGAUUUAGGGCCUGAUAAAGCAAAGAACUUACACAUACUUAACUUUAAGCAUGUACAGAACUUAAGUCCUAUUAAAAUCUACAUAAAUAUCUGC
Molecule: long non-coding RNA, 18667 nt
Organism: Chelonia mydas (Green sea turtle)
Lineage: Eukaryota; Metazoa; Chordata; Testudines; Cheloniidae
Exons: 9
Source: RefSeq, a predicted model, not a curated record